Zophobas morio is the source of this 353-nucleotide long non-coding RNA. RefSeq lists it as uncharacterized. NCBI's taxonomy places the organism in Eukaryota, Metazoa, Arthropoda, Insecta, Coleoptera, Tenebrionidae. The record is from RefSeq and is a predicted model, not a curated record. The transcript is spliced from 3 exons.
UCUGAACUGACUUCGUACGAAAGAUGUUGACAGCUUGAUUUUAUAAAUAAUUCACGGUAGAUAACGAAAAGAAUGGACUCAAGAGACAGGUUAGAAGAAACAUCUGUCAAAAGCGAUUUGUUGCGUUGGUGCGGUACAAGGAUGGAAGGGAAAUAGACACAUACAGAUUCAAUGCAUAUAACAAAGAUGAAGAUGUGGUGAUCACACAAGGAUAGCAUUAUACUACUCCCCUUGACGUAGAAAACGACAACAGAUAGCUUCAUGUCUAGUCACAGCUUUCAGUUUGAGUAUUGGCAAAUUACACCCAAUUACUGGAAACAAUAAAAUACUUAAUUCUAACAAAGAAUGUAGGC